Non-coding RNA from Stegodyphus mimosarum, 46 nucleotides. Lineage: Eukaryota; Metazoa; Arthropoda; Arachnida; Araneae; Eresidae. The record is from Rfam.
UCAGAGGUUUUUCUUAAAACCAAAUAAGAUUUACUAAAAUGUAUAG